UACGUAGGUGGCAAGCGUUGUCCGGAUUUACUGGGCGUAAAGAGCGCGCAGGCGGUCGUUCAAGUCGCGUGUGAAAGCCCCCGGCUCAACUGGGGAGGGUCACGCGAUACUGAUCGACUCGAAGGCAGGAGAGGGUAGUGGAAUUCCCGGUGUAGUGGUGAAAUGCGUAGAUAUCAGGAGGAACACCGGUGGCGAAGGCGGCGGCCUGGGUUGACACUGACGCUGAGGCGCGAAAGCGUGGGGAGCAAACAGG
This 253-nucleotide ribosomal RNA is filed under the name uncultured bacterium. RNAcentral describes it as "partial 16S ribosomal RNA". It matches the Rfam family "Bacterial small subunit ribosomal RNA", at positions 524 to 776 of the family's 1533-position model. The record is from RNAcentral.